This 468-nucleotide ribosomal RNA is filed under the name uncultured bacterium. RNAcentral's name for it is "partial 16S ribosomal RNA". It matches the Rfam family "Bacterial small subunit ribosomal RNA", at positions 28 to 507 of the family's 1533-position model. The record is from RNAcentral.
GACGAACGCUGGCGGCGUGCUUAACACAUGCAAGUCGAACGGAAAGGCCCUGCUUUUGUGGGGUGCUCGAGUGGCGAACGGGUGAGUAACACGUGAGUAACCUGCCCUUGACUUUGGGAUAACUUCAGGAAACUGGGGCUAAUACCGGAUAGGAGCUCCUGCUGCAUGGUGGGGGUUGGAAAGCUUCGGCGGUUGGGGAUGGACUCGCGGCUUAUCAGCUUGUUGGUGGGGUAGUGGCUUACCAAGGCUUUGACGGGUAGCCGGCCUGAGAGGGUGACCGGCCACAUUGGGACUGAGAUACGGCCCAGACUCCUACGGGAGGCAGCAGUGGGGAAUAUUGCACAAUGGGCGGAAGCCUGAUGCGGCAACGCCGCGUGCGGGAUGACGGCCUUCGGGUUGUAAACCGCUUUCGCCUGUGACGAAGCGUGAGUGACGGUAAUGGGUAAAGAAGCACCGGCUAACUACGUG